AUACGGAGGAUGCAAGCGUUAUCCGGAUUUAUUGGGUUUAAAGGGAGCGUAGGUGGGAUAAUAAGUCAGCUGUGAAAGUUUGGGGCUCAACCUUAAAAUUGCAGUUGAUACUGGUUUCCUUGAGUACGGUACAGGUGGGCGGAAUUCGUGGUGUAGCGGUGAAAUGCUUAGAUAUCACGAAGAACUCCGAUCGCGAAGGCAGCUCACCGGGCCGGAACUGACACUGAUGCUCGAAAGUGCGGGUAUCAAACAGGAUUAGAUACCCUGGUAGUCCGCACAGUAAACGAUGAAUACUCGCUGUUUGCGAUACACUGUAAGCGGCCAAGCGAAAGCGUUAAGUAUUCCACCUGGGGAGUACGCCGGCAACGGUGAAACUCAAAGGAAUUGACGGGG
This 393-nucleotide ribosomal RNA is filed under the name uncultured bacterium. Its description in RNAcentral is "partial 16S ribosomal RNA". It matches the Rfam family "Bacterial small subunit ribosomal RNA", at positions 523 to 918 of the family's 1533-position model. The record is from RNAcentral.